Molecule: ribosomal RNA, 445 nt
Filed under: uncultured bacterium
Lineage: Bacteria
Description: bacterial SSU rRNA
Rfam family: Bacterial small subunit ribosomal RNA
Source: RNAcentral
AACGAACGCUGGCGGCAUGCCUAACACAUGCAAGUCGAACGAGACCUUCGGGUCUAGUGGCGCACGGGUGCGUAACGCGUGGGAAUCUGCCCCUUGGUUCGGAAUAACAGUUAGAAAUGACUGCUAAUACCGGAUGAUGACGAAAGUCCAAAGAUUUAUCGCCGAGGGAUGAGCCCGCGUAGGAUUAGCUAGUUGGUGAGGUAAAGGCUCACCAAGGCGACGAUCCUUAGCUGGUCUGAGAGGAUGAUCAGCCACACUGGGGACUGAGACACGGCCCAGACUCCUACGGGAGGCAGCAGUGGGGAAUAUUGGACAAUGGGCGAAAGCCUGAUCCAGCAAUGCCGCGUGAGUGAUGAAGGCCUUAGGGUCGUAAAGCUCUUUUACCAGGGAUGAUAAUGACAGUACCUGGAGAAUAAGCUCCGGCUAACUCCGUGCCAGCAGCCGC